Molecule: ribosomal RNA, 487 nt
Filed under: uncultured bacterium
Lineage: Bacteria
Description: partial 16S ribosomal RNA
Rfam family: Bacterial small subunit ribosomal RNA
Source: RNAcentral
GAUGAACGCUAGCGGCAGGCUUAAUACAUGCAAGUCGUGGGGCAGCAGGACUGUAGCAAUACAGUUGCUGGCGACCGGCAAACGGGUGCGGAACACGUACGCAACUUACCCUGAACUGGGGGAUAGCCCGGGGAAACCCGGAUUAAUACCCCGUAAUAUAAUGGAGUGGCAUCACUUUAUUAUUAAAGCUCCGGCGGUUCGGGAUGGGCGUGCGGCUGAUUAGGUAGUUGGUUGAGGUAACGGCUCACCAAGCCUACGAUCAGUAACUGGUGUGAGAGCACGACCCGUCAACGGGGCAAUGAGACACGGGCCCGACCCCACGGGGGGGAAGAAGUAAGGAAUAUUGGGCAAGGGGGGAAACUCUGCCCCGGCCAGGCCGGGGGGGGGAUGAAGGCCCUUGGGGUUGAAAAUUUCUUUUAUGGGGGACAAAACCUGGUGUUUUUUACGCAGUUGACGGUACCCUAGGAAAAAGCCCCGGCUAACCCCG